UGUUGUUAUAAAUCCCUGCCUGGUGCUCC
RNAcentral lists this non-coding RNA (29 nucleotides) under Mus musculus (house mouse). The record is from RNAcentral. Lineage: Eukaryota; Metazoa; Chordata; Mammalia; Rodentia; Muridae.